ACCACCAGCAACAGUGAAGGGUGUAGCUCCUUCAGCACUGCCAGGUGUUAGAGCAGCCGGGGGCAGGUGUGAGCCUCCAAAGCACAGCAGAGGAGGUGAGGUUAUAUUGGGUGCAGACAGCUCCGCCAAGGAGACUUGCUGGUGAGGAUCUGUAUUCCAUAGAAAAUAUUCACUAACUGGUGUUUUUUCAAGUUUGUUCUCUCAUCCUUCUGUCCGCUGCUAAUGUUCUUUUUUUGAGCGGCCAUGGCCAGAGAGCUUCACAGAAAGAGCUCGGGCUCAGAAGAACUGACUUUGUCAACUAUUUACAGGUUGGCCUCACUGCACGUAUUUGUUGUACGCUCUGUACCCCGCGGGAAGGACUGGACAGCCAGCAGACAUCGUGAGAACUGAGGGGUAGCAUUUCUUGUGCAAACACUGAUCCAACUAGAACACUUCAAAAAUUUGAUCCAGGAGGAGAAAUGAUCACUGAGGCUGCUCUCCUUCAGGGUGUCUGUAACUCAGAAUAAUAGCUCUUGAGUUAUUAGCUGGUUUUGUUUGGCAUUCAUCUUCUGAACUUACUGCCAAAGGCAUAGAGGCAGAAGAAAGCAUAAUACCACAUCGAUAAAUACGUGUCAUUUCCCCUCCCCAGAAUUGUAUAAAAUGGAAAGGCAUAAUUGGAAUGUUAGUAAAUAUAAUGGAUCAGAAUUUGUUUAUUUAUUUUUUCCCAGAUUGAACCUUUGCAACAUCAGAUUUCAAACUGAAGUGAAUGACUUUCAUGUCUGAUUUAUAAAACUUUCACAUGAAGAAUGUACAGUGGAAACAAAAUAAAUGCUUAUUUGGC
RNAcentral lists this long non-coding RNA (820 nucleotides) under Anser brachyrhynchus (Pink-footed goose). RNAcentral describes it as "lncRNA (ENSABRG00000011206.1)". Lineage: Eukaryota; Metazoa; Chordata; Aves; Anseriformes; Anatidae. The record is from RNAcentral.